GAUGAACGCUGGCGGCGUGCCUAAUACAUGCAAGUCGAGCGAACGGACGAGAAGCUUGCUUCUCUGAUGUUAGCGGCGGACGGGUGGGUAACACGUGGAUAACCUACCUAUAAGACUGGGAUAGCUUCGGGAAACCGGAGCUAAUACCGGAUAAUAUUUUGAACCGCAUGGUUCAAAAGUGAAAGACGGUCUUGCUGUCACUUAUAGAUGGAUCCGCGCUGCAUUAGCUAGUUGGUAAGGUAACGGCUUACCAAGGCAACGAUGCAUAGCCGACCUGAGAGGGUGAUCGGCCACACUGGAACUGAGACACGGUCCAGACUCCUACGGGAGGCAGCAGUAGGGAAUCUUCCGCAAUGGGCGAAAGCCUGACGGAGCAACGCCGCGUGAGUGAUGAAGGUCUUCGGAUCGUAAAACUCUGUUAUUAGGGAAGAACAUAUGUGUAAGUAACUGUGCACAUCUUGACGGUACCUAAUCAGAAAGCCACGGCUAACUACGUG
RNAcentral lists this ribosomal RNA (497 nucleotides) under uncultured bacterium. RNAcentral's name for it is "partial 16S ribosomal RNA". It matches the Rfam family "Bacterial small subunit ribosomal RNA", at positions 28 to 507 of the family's 1533-position model. The record is from RNAcentral.